RNAcentral lists this transfer RNA (29 nucleotides) under Spiranthes porrifolia. RNAcentral describes it as "partial tRNA-Gly". The record is from RNAcentral. Lineage: Eukaryota; Viridiplantae; Streptophyta; Magnoliopsida; Asparagales; Orchidaceae.
UGCGGAUAUGGUCAAAUGGUAAAAUUUCU